UUAAAUUGAAGAGUUUGAUCAUGGCUCAGAUUGAACGCUGGCGGCAGGCCUAACACAUGCAAGUCGAACGGUAACAGGAAGCAGCUUGCUGCUUCGCUGACGAGUGGCGGACGGGUGAGUAAUGUCUGGGAAACUGCCUGAUGGAGGGGGAUAACUACUGGAAACGGUAGCUAAUACCGCAUAACGUCGCAAGACCAAAGAGGGGGACCUUCGGGCCUCUUGCCAUCGGAUGUGCCCAGAUGGGAUUAGCUAGUAGGUGGGGUAACGGCUCACCUAGGCGACGAUCCCUAGCUGGUCUGAGAGGAUGACCAGCCACACUGGAACUGAGACACGGUCCAGACUCCUACGGGAGGCAGCAGUGGGGAAUAUUGCACAAUGGGCG
RNAcentral lists this ribosomal RNA (382 nucleotides) under Escherichia coli. Its description in RNAcentral is "bacterial SSU rRNA". It matches the Rfam family "Bacterial small subunit ribosomal RNA", at positions 1 to 377 of the family's 1533-position model. The record is from RNAcentral. Lineage: Bacteria; Pseudomonadati; Pseudomonadota; Gammaproteobacteria; Enterobacterales; Enterobacteriaceae.